Molecule: ribosomal RNA, 436 nt
Filed under: uncultured Clostridiales Family IV bacterium
Lineage: Bacteria; Bacillati; Bacillota; Clostridia; Eubacteriales; Eubacteriales Family IV. Incertae Sedis
Description: bacterial SSU rRNA
Rfam family: Bacterial small subunit ribosomal RNA
Source: RNAcentral
ACGGGAGGCAGCAGUGGGGGAUAUUGCACAAUGGGGAAACUCUGAUGCAGCAACGCCGCGUGAGGGAAGAAGGGUUUCGGAUUGUAAACCUCUGUUUUUAGUGAAGAAACAAAUGACGGUAGCUAAAGAGGAAGCCACGGCUAACUACGUGCCAGCAGCCGCGGUAAUACGUAGGUGGCAAGCGUUGUCCGGAUUUACUGGGUGUAAAGGGUGCGCAGGCGGGACUGCAAGUUGGAUGUGAAAUACCUAGGCUUAACCUCGGGGCUGCAUCCGAAACUGUGGUUCUUGAGUGGAGUAGAGGUAAGCGGAAUUCCGAGUGUAGCGGUGAAAUGCGUAGAUAUUCGGAGGAACACCAGUGGCGAAGGCGGCUUACUGGGCUUUAACUGACGCUGAGGCACGAAAGCAUGGGUAGCAAACAGGAUUAGAUACCCUGGUA